AAAUUGAAGAGUUUGAUCAUGGCUCAGAUUGAACGCUGGCGGCAGGCCUAACACAUGCAAGUCGAACGGUAACAGGAAGCAGCUUGCUGCUUUGCUGACGAGUGGCGGACGGGUGAGUAAUGUCUGGGAAACUGCCUGAUGGAGGGGGAUAACUACUGGAAACGGUGGCUAAUACCGCAUAACGUCGCAAGACCAAAGAGGGGGACCUUCGGGCCUCUUGCCAUCAGAUGUGCCCAGAUGGGAUUAGCUUGUUGGUGAGGUAACGGCUCACCAAGGCGACGAUCCCUAGCUGGUCUGAGAGGAUGACCAGCCACACUGGAACUGAGACACGGUCCAGACUCCUACGGGAGGCAGCAGUGGGGAAUAUUGCACAAUGGGCGCAAGCCUGAUGCAGCCAUGCCGCGUGUAUGAAGAAGGCCUUCGGGUUGUAAAGUACUUUCAGCGGGGAGGAAGGUGUUGUGGUUAAUAACCGCAGCAAUUGACGUUACCCGCAGAAGAAGCACCGGCUAACUCCGUGCCAGCAGCCGCGGUAAUACGGAGGGUGCAAGCGUUAAUCGGAAUUACUGGGCGUAAAGCGCACGCAGGCGGUCUGUCAAGUCGGAUGUGAAAUCCCCGGGCUCAACCUGGGAACUGCAUUCGAAACUGGCAGGCUUGAGUCUUGUAGAGGGGGGUAGAAUUCCAGGUGUAGCGGUGAAAUGCGUAGAGAUCUGGAGGAAUACCGGUGGCGAAGGCGGCCCCCUGGACAAAGACUGACGCUCAGGUGCGAAAGCGUGGGGAGCAAACAGGAUUAGAUACCCUGGUAGUCCACGCCGUAAACGAUGUCUACUUGGAGGUUGUGCCCUUGAGGCGUGGCUUCCGGAGCUAACGCGUUAAGUAGACCGCCUGGGGAGUACGGCCGCAAGGUUAAAACUCAAAUGAAUUGACGGGGGCCCGCACAAGCGGUGGAGCAUGUGGUUUAAUUCGAUGCAACGCGAAGAACCUUACCUGGUCUUGACAUCCACAGAACUUUCCAGAGAUGGAUUGGUGCCUUCGGGAACUGUGAGACAGGUGCUGCAUGGCUGUCGUCAGCUCGUGUUGUGAAAUGUUGGGUUAAGUCCCGCAACGAGCGCAACCCUUAUCCUUUGUUGCCAGCGGUCCGGCCGGGAACUCAAAGGAGACUGCCAGUGAUAAACUGGAGGAAGGUGGGGAUGACGUCAAGUCAUCAUGGCCCUUACGACCAGGGCUACACACGUGCUACAAUGGCGCAUACAAAGAGAAGCGACCUCGYGAGAGCAAGCGGACCUCAUAAAGUGCGUCGUAGUCCGGAUUGGAGUCUGCAACUCGACUCCAUGAAGUCGGAAUCGCUAGUAAUCGUGGAUCAGAAUGCCACGGUGAAUACGUUCCCGGGCCUUGUACACACCGCCCGUCACACCAUGGGAGUGGGUUGCAAAAGAAGUAGGUAGCUUAACCUUCGGGRGGGCGCUUACCACUUUGUGAUUCAUGACUGGGGUGAAGUCGUAACAAGGUAACCGUAGGGGAACCUGCGGUUGGAUCACCUCCUUACCUUAAAGAAGC
This 1554-nucleotide ribosomal RNA is filed under the name Salmonella enterica subsp. enterica serovar Typhi. Its description in RNAcentral is "bacterial SSU rRNA". Lineage: Bacteria; Pseudomonadati; Pseudomonadota; Gammaproteobacteria; Enterobacterales; Enterobacteriaceae. The record is from RNAcentral.